RNAcentral lists this ribosomal RNA (254 nucleotides) under uncultured bacterium. Its description in RNAcentral is "partial 16S ribosomal RNA". It matches the Rfam family "Bacterial small subunit ribosomal RNA", at positions 524 to 776 of the family's 1533-position model. The record is from RNAcentral.
UACGUAGGGUCCAAGCGUUAUCCGGAAUUACUGGGCGUAAAGAGUUGCGUAGGUGGCACAGUAAGUAGGUAGUGAAAUCGUGUGGCUCAACCAUACACCCAUUACCUAAACUGCUGAGCUAGAAGAUGAGAGAGGUCGCUGGAAUUCCUUGUGUAGGAGUGAAAUCCGUAGAUAUAAGGAGGAACACCGAUGGCGUAGGCAGGCGACUGGCUCAUUCUUGACACUAAGGCACGAAAGCGUGGGGAGCGAACUGG